AGAGGUGGCAAGCGUUGUUCGGAAUUACUGGGCGUAAAGGGCGCGUAGGCGGUUCGUUAAGUCCUGUGUGAAAUCCCCCGGCUCAACUGGGGAACUGCACAGGAAACUAGCGGGCUUGAGUUCGGGAGAGGGAAGCGGAAUUCCGGGUGUAGCGGUGAAAUGCGUAGAUAUCCGGAGGAACACCGGUGGCGAAGGCGGCUUCCUGGACCGACACUGACGCUGAGGCGCGAAAGCUAGGGGAGCAAACGGGAUUAGAUACCCCGGUAGUCCUAGCUGUAAACGAUGAGUGCUGGGUGUAGGGGGUAUUAACCCCCCCUGUGCCGAAGCUAACGCAUUAAGCACUCCGCCUGGGGAGUACGGUCGCAAGGCUG
Molecule: ribosomal RNA, 371 nt
Filed under: uncultured bacterium
Lineage: Bacteria
Description: bacterial SSU rRNA
Rfam family: Bacterial small subunit ribosomal RNA
Source: RNAcentral